GAUUGAACGCUGGCGGCAUGCUUAAUACAUGCAAGUCGAACGGUAACAGGCAUCGGUGAUCCCUUCGGGGUGAUCUUGGCGCUGACGAGUGGCGAACGGGUGAGUAAUGCUUGGGAAUCUGCCCGGUAGUGGGGGACAACCCGAGGAAACUCGGGCUAAUACCGCGUAAGCUCCACGGAGGAAAGCGGGGGAUCUUCGGACCUCGCGCUAUCGGAUGAGCCCAAGUCGGAUUAGCUUGUUGGUGGGGUAAUGGCCCACCAAGGCGACGAUCCGUAGCUGGUCUGAGAGGACGAUCAGCCACACUGGGACUGAGACACGGCCCAGACUCCUACGGGAGGCAGCAGUAGGGAAUAUUGGACAAUGGGCGCAAGCCUGAUCCAGCAAUGCCGCGUGUGUGAAGAAGGCCUGCGGGUUGUAAAGCACUUUCAGUGGGGAAGACAAACUCGAGGUUAAUACCCUCGGGUCUCGACGUUACCCACAGAAGAAGCACCGGCCAACUCCGUGCCAGCAGCCGCGGUAAUACGGAGGGUGCGAGCGUUAAUCGGAAUUACUGGGCGUAAAGCGCACGCAGGUGGGCUGG
This 580-nucleotide ribosomal RNA is filed under the name uncultured bacterium. RNAcentral describes it as "bacterial SSU rRNA". It matches the Rfam family "Bacterial small subunit ribosomal RNA", at positions 27 to 583 of the family's 1533-position model. The record is from RNAcentral.